UGGGGGAUCGUCUAACGGCAGGACUACGGCCUUUGAAGCCGUCUAUGAAGGUUCGAAUCCUUCUCCCCCAG
RNAcentral lists this transfer RNA (71 nucleotides) under bacterium. Its description in RNAcentral is "tRNA-Gln". It matches the Rfam family "tRNA". From Rfam's summary of the family: Transfer RNA (tRNA) molecules are approximately 80 nucleotides in length. Their secondary structure includes four short double-helical elements and three loops (D, anti-codon, and T loops). The record is from RNAcentral.